UACGGGGGGAGCAAGCGUUGUUCGGAUUUACUGGGCGUAAAGGGCGGGUAGGCGGCCACCGCAAGUCAGUUGUGAAAUCUCUGGGCUUAACCCAGAAAGGUCAACUGAUACUGCGGGGCUAGAGUGCAGAAGGGGCAACUGGAAUUCUCGGUGUAGCGGUGAAAUGCGUAGAUAUCGAGAGGAACACCUGCGGCGAAGGCGGGUUGCUGGGACGGUACUGACGCUGAGACGCGAAAGCGUGGGGAGCAAACAGG
RNAcentral lists this ribosomal RNA (254 nucleotides) under uncultured bacterium. RNAcentral's name for it is "partial 16S ribosomal RNA". It matches the Rfam family "Bacterial small subunit ribosomal RNA", at positions 524 to 776 of the family's 1533-position model. The record is from RNAcentral.